This 490-nucleotide ribosomal RNA is filed under the name uncultured bacterium. Its description in RNAcentral is "partial 16S ribosomal RNA". It matches the Rfam family "Bacterial small subunit ribosomal RNA", at positions 30 to 507 of the family's 1533-position model. The record is from RNAcentral.
AUUGAACGCUGGCGGCAUGCCUAACACAUGCAAGUCGAACGGUAACAGGAAGCAGCUUUCUGCUUCGCUGACGAGUGGCGGACGGGUGAGUCAUGUCUGGGAAGCUGCCUGAUGGAGGGGGAUAACUACUGGAAACGGUAGCUAAUACCGCAUAAUGUCUCAAGACCAAAGAGGGGGACCUUCUGGCCUCUUGCCAUCGGAUGUGCCCAGAUGGGAUUAGCUUGUUGGUGGGGUAACGGCUCACCAAGGCGACCAUCCCUAGCUGAUCUGAGAGGAUGACAGGACACACUGGGACUGAGACACGGUCCAGACUCCUACGGGAGGCAGCAGUGGGGAAUGUUGCACAAUGGGCGCAAGCCUGAUGCAGCAAUGGCGCGUGUAUGGAGAAGGCCUUCGGGUUGUGAAGUACUUUCAGCGGGGAGGAAGGGAGUAAAGUUAAUACCUUUGCUCAUUGACGUUACCCGCAGAAGAAGCACCGGCUAACUCCGUG